This 61-nucleotide microRNA precursor is filed under the name Pristionchus pacificus. RNAcentral describes it as "mir-8364 microRNA precursor family". It matches the Rfam family "mir-8364 microRNA precursor family". The record is from Rfam by way of RNAcentral. Lineage: Eukaryota; Metazoa; Nematoda; Chromadorea; Rhabditida; Neodiplogasteridae.
UCUCCAUUCAUCACACCAUCUCACCGAUCAGAGAGGCGAGAGAGUGUGGGAAAUGAAGAGA